This 253-nucleotide ribosomal RNA is filed under the name uncultured bacterium. RNAcentral describes it as "partial 16S ribosomal RNA". It matches the Rfam family "Bacterial small subunit ribosomal RNA", at positions 524 to 776 of the family's 1533-position model. The record is from RNAcentral.
CACGGGGGGAGCAAGCGUUGUUCGGAAUCACUGGGCGUAAAGGGCGUGUAGGCGGUUGGUUAAGUCUGAUGUGAAAGCCCCGGGCUCAACCUGGGAAUGGCAUUGGAAACUGGCCAGCUGGAGUGUGGCAGAGGGGGGUGGAAUUCCGCGUGUAGCAGUGAAAUGCGUAGAGAUGCGGAGGAACACCGAUGGCGAAGGCAGCCCCCUGGGCCAACACUGACGCUCAGGCACGAAAGCGUGGGGAGCAAACAGG